This 121-nucleotide ribosomal RNA is filed under the name Capsicum annuum. The record is from RNAcentral. Lineage: Eukaryota; Viridiplantae; Streptophyta; Magnoliopsida; Solanales; Solanaceae.
GAAAACAAUUUUCUUCUAGCACUAACGCACCGGAUCUCAUCAGAACUCCGGAGUUAAGCGUUCUUGGGUGAGAGUAGUAUUAGGAUGGGUGACCCCUUGGGAAGUCCUCGUGUUGCAUCCC